UACGUAGGGUGCGAGCGUUGUCCGGAAUUAUUGGGCGUAAAGAGCUCGUAGGCGGCCUGUCGCGUCGGUUGUGAAGGCCCGGGGCUUAACCCCGGGUCUGCAGUCGAUACGGGCAGGCUAGAGUUCGGUAGGGGAGAUCGGAAUUCCUGGUGUAGCGGUGAAAUGCGCAGAUAUCAGGAGGAACACCGGUGGCGAAGGCGGAUCUCUGGGCCGGUACUGACGCUGAGACGCGAAAGCGUGGGGAGCGAACAGG
This 253-nucleotide ribosomal RNA is filed under the name uncultured bacterium. RNAcentral's name for it is "partial 16S ribosomal RNA". It matches the Rfam family "Bacterial small subunit ribosomal RNA", at positions 524 to 776 of the family's 1533-position model. The record is from RNAcentral.